UUGAAUGCUAUUUUUAUGGUUGAUGCCAAUGUUAGAGGGAUUCAAUGCAAUUAUAUCCCGGAUAUCUAAACUAGAAAAAGGAAAGUUUUGUUAGCCAAGCUAACCCCAAGUCAAAAUAAAGGAAAGUGAUCCAACUAUGUUCUUUCGGGACUGGGUCAAAGAAGAGUCGCAGAAUUCAAGACAGAAAGAAAUGGCAAUGACGUCAUAAAGAGAAAUUAUUAGAGUUAUUUAUUAAGAUUAUUUUAAUUAUUCGUUUGUUUAAUGAGUACGUGUGACUGGGUCAAAGAAAGGUCGCAGAACUCAAGAGGGAAAGAAAUGGCAAGUCAAAAAAGGUUCACAGAACUCAAGAGUAAAAGAAAUGGUAAUGACAUAAUAAAGAGAAAUUAUUAGAGUUAUUUUUUAGGAUUAUUUUAAUUAUUUUUUUGUUUAAAGAGUACGCAUGGAUAUUUAGGACUUUAGUGUUUAUAUUGUAUUAUCU
This 478-nucleotide long non-coding RNA is filed under the name Amborella trichopoda. Its description in RNAcentral is "long non-coding RNA (ATRI_LNC000332)". Lineage: Eukaryota; Viridiplantae; Streptophyta; Magnoliopsida; Amborellales; Amborellaceae. The record is from RNAcentral.